RNAcentral lists this ribosomal RNA (563 nucleotides) under uncultured eukaryote. RNAcentral's name for it is "bacterial SSU rRNA". It matches the Rfam family "Eukaryotic small subunit ribosomal RNA", at positions 602 to 1163 of the family's 1831-position model. The record is from RNAcentral.
CGUUAAAGUUGCUGCAGUUAAAAAGCUCGUAGUUGAACGUUCGGGUUCCGCGGGACGGGGCCGCCCCGCGAGGGACGGCGCCGCCCCGGGGCUCGUGAUAUCUUAUCUCGCCGCCCGUCGCGAGGCGGACGGAGGGAUGGAUGAGGUUACCUGGAAAAAAUCGGGGCGAUCUAGGCGGGCGAACCUCGCCAACGAACGAUCGGACAUGGGAUAACGGAAGAGGGCGUCGGCUCGACUUCGUCGGUUCCUCGGGGCCGAGGCACGUACGGUGAAUAGGGACGGUCGGGGCCGCCCGUACCGGGUCGUGAGAGGUGAAAUUCUAGGAUCGACCCGAGACGAACUGCCGCGAAAGCAUUCGGCAAGGACGCUUUCAUUAAUCAAGAACGAAAGUCGGGGGAUCGAAGACGAUCAGAUACCGUCGUAGUCCCGACCGUAAACGAUGCCGACCGAGGGCCCGGAGGAGUUACGUACGACCCUCCGGGCCCUCCCGCGAGAAAUCAGGAGUAUUCGGGUUCCGGGGGAGUAUGGUCGCAAGGCCGAAACUUAAAGGAAUUGACGGAAGG